GGCCCCUGAUGACACAACCUUCUGACACCUAGUAUGAGAGCUGCUGCUCCUGAUUCCACUCUGCUCUGAGGCCA
Small nucleolar RNA from Synchiropus splendidus (mandarinfish), 74 nucleotides. RefSeq annotates it as small nucleolar RNA SNORD60. The record is from RefSeq and is a predicted model, not a curated record. Lineage: Eukaryota; Metazoa; Chordata; Actinopteri; Syngnathiformes; Callionymidae. The transcript has a single exon.